This 263-nucleotide ribosomal RNA is filed under the name uncultured bacterium. RNAcentral describes it as "partial 16S ribosomal RNA". It matches the Rfam family "Bacterial small subunit ribosomal RNA", at positions 90 to 354 of the family's 1533-position model. The record is from RNAcentral.
CAUGAGUGGCGGACGGGUGAGUAACGCGUGGGCAACCUGCCCUGUACAGGGGGACAACACUUAGAAAUAGGUGCUAAUACCGCAUAACGGGGGGAGCCGCAUGGCACCCCCCUGAAAACUCCGGUGGUACAGGAUGGGCCCGCGUCUGAUUAGCCAGUUGGCAGGGUAACGGCCUACCAAAGCGACGAUCAGUAGCCGGCCUGAGAGGGCGGACGGCCACACUGGGACUGAGACACGGCCCAGACUCCUACGGAAGGCAGCAG